This 480-nucleotide ribosomal RNA is filed under the name uncultured bacterium. Its description in RNAcentral is "bacterial SSU rRNA". It matches the Rfam family "Bacterial small subunit ribosomal RNA", at positions 27 to 507 of the family's 1533-position model. The record is from RNAcentral.
GGAUGAACGCUAGCGGCAGGCUUAACACAUGCAAGGUCGAGGGGUAUAGGUUUUCGGACCUAGAGACCGGCGCACGGGUGCGUAACGCGUAUGCAAUCUACCUUUCACAGAGGGAUAGCCCAGAGAAAUUUGGAUUAAUACCUCAUAGUAUUAUAGAAUGGCAUCAUUUUAUAAUUAAAGUCACAACGGUGAAAGAUGAGCAUGCGUCCCAUUAGCUAGUUGGUAUGGUAACGGCAUACCAAGGCAACGAUGGGUAGGGGUCCUGAGAGGGAGAUCCCCCACACUGGUACUGAGACACGGACCAGACUCCUACGGGAGGCAGCAGUGAGGAAUAUUGGUCAAUGGGCGCAAGCCUGAACCAGCCAUGCCGCGUGCAGGAUGACGGUCCUAUGGAUUGUAAACUGCUUUUGCACAGGAAGAAACAACGCUACGUGUAGCGUCUUGACGGUACUGUGAGAAUAAGGAUCGGCUAACUCCGUG